GUGGGGAAUAUUGGGCAAUGGGGGCAACCCUGACCCAGCGACGCCGCGUGGGGGAAGACGGCCUUCGGGUUGUAAACCUCUUUUGUACGGGAAGAAGGAAGUGACGGUACUGUACGAAUAAGUCCCGGCUAACUACGUGCCAGCAGCCGCGGUAAUACGUAGGGGACGAGCGUUGUCCGGAAUUACUGGGCGUAAAGGGCGCGCAGGCUGUGCUGCAAGUCAGCUGUUAAAUGUCUGGGCUUAACCCGGGCAUGCGGUUGAGACUGCGGUGCUGGAGUGCUGUAGAGGCAAGUGGAAUUCCCAGUGUAGCGGUGAAAUGCGUUGAUAUUGGGAAGAACACCGGUGGCGAAGGCGACUUGCUGGGCAGCAACUGACGCUGAGGCGCGAAAGCCAGGGGAGCAAACGGGAUUAGAAACCCCGGUAGUCC
RNAcentral lists this ribosomal RNA (427 nucleotides) under uncultured bacterium. RNAcentral's name for it is "partial 16S ribosomal RNA". It matches the Rfam family "Bacterial small subunit ribosomal RNA", at positions 354 to 796 of the family's 1533-position model. The record is from RNAcentral.